GAAAACACACCACACUGACACUGUCGGUGGAGUUGGAGUUCACGGUGAAGCAGACAGCCUUGAAUUGUGAACUGGAAUAUUGUUUGGGUUAGCCGUUCGACUUUGUGAAUCUUCGUUAGUCCGUGGUACACUAUAUACAAGUUGUAUGCUGGACAUCAGACAGCUACACUCCACCUCCACUGCUAAUGUGAAGUACUCUUGUAACCUAUACACUGCAACCUAUCUUCCACAAAAACCACCUGAAAAAUGGCGGGUAGUGUAUUGCAUUGAAAUCUGCUGUCAAAGUAGGUGUUAAGUGUUCUGCAGUGUCAGAGUGCCACUGAAUUGUCAACUCUUUUCACAUGUGCACAAUCCUAAUAAAGUAGAGUUAAAAAAAAUCUUCUGGUUUUCAACUGUCAGCUGGAAAUAAUGACAAAGAACUAUUUCAUGUAUGUAAUUCUGAUGAUAAAGGUUACAAUUCUAUGAUUCCUGACAUGUGGUUCAUUUUUAUGCAUGCAUGAUCUGAUCACACUCAGGCACACACACUCUCAUUUUCCUUCUUCCAGUUAAUUUUUCCCUCUUCCUGUACCCUGUAUAUUCAGUUACCAUUUUCUGCCUUGUGCAGAUACACAGAGCACAUACACAUCCGCAUGUUGUAUAAGUCACUUGCAGACUGAUUGUGAAGGGCUUGUCACCAGCACAGUGAGGAUUGUGGGUUUUGGCUCCAGACCUCACUUCCAGCUUACCUGAUUUCUAUCUAAAGGGGGUAUCUUUAUGGCCACUAGCUUAUCUAAGUUACUGAUAACAUAAAACACCAAGAAUUGGUAACAUAUUCACAGUUUACUGAUAAUACAUGAACAAAAAGUCUUCAAAUUAAGAUAUGUAUCAACAAAUUCAAAGUGCAAUAUUGUAAAGAAUUUUGUGUGAAAGUGAACCACACCAGAAUGUUUUGCGGACACAUUUACAUUUCUA
This is a long non-coding RNA of Pomacea canaliculata, 951 nucleotides long. RefSeq lists it as uncharacterized. The record is from RefSeq and is a predicted model, not a curated record. The transcript has 2 exons. Lineage: Eukaryota; Metazoa; Mollusca; Gastropoda; Architaenioglossa; Ampullariidae.